RNAcentral lists this ribosomal RNA (253 nucleotides) under uncultured bacterium. RNAcentral's name for it is "partial 16S ribosomal RNA". It matches the Rfam family "Bacterial small subunit ribosomal RNA", at positions 524 to 776 of the family's 1533-position model. The record is from RNAcentral.
UACGUAGGUGGCAAGCGUUGUCCGGAUUUACUGGGCGUAAAGAGCGCGCAGGCGGUCGUUCAAGUCGCGUGUGAAAGCCCCCGGCUCAACUGGGGAGGGUCACGCGAUACUGAUCGACUCGAAGGCAGGAGAGGGUAGUGGAAUUCCCGGUGUAGUGGUGAAAUGCGUAGAUAUCUGGAGGAACACCGGUGGCGAAGGCGGCAUCCUGGACCGACACUGACACUGAGGAGCGAAAGCCAGGGGAGCAAACGGG